RNAcentral lists this long non-coding RNA (1047 nucleotides) under Anser brachyrhynchus (Pink-footed goose). RNAcentral's name for it is "lncRNA (ENSABRG00000020041.1)". The record is from RNAcentral. Lineage: Eukaryota; Metazoa; Chordata; Aves; Anseriformes; Anatidae.
AUCGGCGACUGUCGGCUGCUCCCUUCCCAAGAAGAGGGGCAAGCAGCCACCCGGCUCCGUUUGCAUGCCCACUGCGCAGCCACACAUCUGCUAUGUACCGCUCUGCACCCAAGUUUGAGGCCGUGGAUCAGCCAGAGUGGAUGCAGGAAGAGUAUGAAAAAAAAAAGAGAAAGGAGCGGAGCUCUUGGCAAGCUGUCGUAGAUUAAAAAGGAGGCAGGUAGGAGCAGAGCUGAAGCAAGUGCCUAAAAGAGUUAUUCAGGAGAAACAAGGGCUUCGAGUGACAUUUGAGUAUGGGAAAGAAAUCAGCAUCCGUGGUUUUCAUUGGUGUUCGGAGCGCUAAAAGCAGAAGUGGUUGCUGGAGUCUGAACAGGAAUCCGAGGCUGAGCUCGCAGCUUCCUCCCAAACUGGGGGAGAAACUGCUCACUUGAUUUACAGGCUCAGUGGCAAAAGAGUUCUUGGUUGUAGAAGUUUACUUUUUUUUGGGAAACAAAUCACUUUGUGAGCAGUGGAACUAGUGACACCUGGUUUCCCAUGGGUCCGUGACCCUUGCUCCUUGCUCCUCCUGCACACAGCAACAAGCCCAGCGCUCCCCUGCCUCUGCGUGCUCAGAUUUCGCAGGGCAGCAAGCAGGUACGUGUGUUCAGGCUGACCAGCUAACGCCGGCACGGUCAGCCAGCGUGCAGGCAACCACUAGCCAAGUUGGCUGCUGGCCCCAUUUCUCUAACCGAGGUCUCUAUCCUGUGCCCAGCCAACCGUUUUCACAAAGUUUAGCAGGGAAAUCAGUAACCUUUGAAACUUCUACCUCUCUGUCCUGUACAAAAGCAAGGUAAAAGUUACUAAUGGGGCUGGAUAGAUUGAAUCUGAGGUAAAAUGUUCUGGUGUAUUGUCUUUGGAUGUAUAUUUAGGAUGUCAGUCCAGGUUCUGGAAAUCAUUUCUCUCCCUCUCUCUCUUUUUCAGCUAUUUUUAACCUGGACGUGUUCUGUGAUUUGUUUCACGCACAGCACUGAAAUGGCACAGCUGAGGGGGCACAGGAGUCAACGCUUAUAA